UAGACCUUAUAUAUUGAGAUUAUGUAAGGAAUCCAAUGCAUCA
RNAcentral lists this unclassified non-coding RNA (43 nucleotides) under Wolbachia pipientis. RNAcentral describes it as "partial miscellaneous RNA". Lineage: Bacteria; Pseudomonadati; Pseudomonadota; Alphaproteobacteria; Rickettsiales; Anaplasmataceae. The record is from RNAcentral.